This 30-nucleotide non-coding RNA is filed under the name Mus musculus (house mouse). Lineage: Eukaryota; Metazoa; Chordata; Mammalia; Rodentia; Muridae. The record is from RNAcentral.
UGGGAGAUGAAAUUUUAAAACAUCAUUGAU